AUGUAAUGGGCCGGUCUCGGUUUUUUUUUAAAAAUUUACAGUUGGUCUCGAAACCGGACCGGCCCGUUAAACCAGGAUCGGAUCCGGAACGGCCCACAAACCGAUUAAAAAUCACAGGCUGGUUUCGGGUUUACCCGGCCCAGCCCCGUUAACUGGACUAAUUGAGGUUUAGUUGAAUCAAACACAGGUAAAUGCAUUUUCUUGACAAAAGAUCUUUCAUCUUGCCUUACCAAGUAUGAUAAUUACUGCCAUUCAAACACACCAUCUAGCUCAUAUUUGUCUCCAUUGUUCAAAUCAACAAUCAACGACAACUAGGCUCUGAUACCACUUGUAAGGACCGAACUAAUCAAGUGUCAUGCGGAAGCUAGCAAAGAAAACCUCGAAAGACAUCAAUAAAAAGAUAUACGAGAAAUACACCAAAAGAGACACAAAAAUUUAACAUGGUUCGAUCAAUCGACCAAAUCCACAAAAGGAGAUGAGCAAUCCACUAUAUAAAAGAGAGUACAAACUGUCAAGAGAAACAACCUCACACAAUUCACUCAGAAUUAAAAAAAACUAUAUAAAACAGAGUACAACCUGUCAAAAAAGACAACCUCACACAAUUCACUCAGAAUAAAAAAAGGUUCACGUAAGUGAUACCGCAACACUUGUAUCUCACAAAAUCUCCCCCAAACGAAACUCUCAAAAUCCUAGGACUACAUUGUGAAUGCUACCAAACUAGAAGAAAGGAUCCUCUAUUUAUAGAGUCUAUAACCUUUUCCUACAAGAAUAAGAAUUAAUCAAAUAUUAAGAAUAUGUUUUCCUUUUCCUAAAAGAAAACCCAAUUAUGGUAAGAAAAUCAGGACAAACACCAACAAUUCUCCCCCUUGGCCUAAAUUUCUGAUAAAAUAAAUUUACUCUACCUUCUACACGUAAUCUUAAACAAGUUCAAUCUUCAUCUCCAAAAUCUCUUCCAUUAAAUCAUUGUCUCUACAGAUUAACACUUUAAUAAAAUUUCUCAAACCAAAAUCUUCAUUAUUGUCAAAUAGGUUGCGACCAAAAUUGAAUUAGCCAAGAUGAACACCCGAUUUUAACCUGGCUCUGAUACCACUUGUUAGGACCAAAAUAAUCAGGUGUCAUGCGAAAUCUAGCAAAGCAAACCUCAAAAGACGCUAAUAAAAAGAUAUACGAGAAAUACACCAAAAGAAACACAAGAAUUUAAUGUGGUUCGGUCAAUCAACCUACAUCCAUAAAAGGAGAUGAACAAUCCACUAUAUAAAAGAGAGUACAAACUGUCUAGAGAGAACCUCACACAAUUCACUCAGAAUAAAAAGAGGUUCACACAAGUGAUACCGCAACGCUUGUAUCUCACAAAGUCCCCCAAACGAAACUCUCAAAACCGUAGGACUACAUUGUGAAUGCUACCAAACUAGAAGAAAGGAGCCUCUAUUUAUCGAGUCUAUAACCUUUUCCUACAAGAAUAAGGAUUAGCCAAAAAUGGAGAAUAUGUUUUCCUUUUCCUAAAAGGAAUCCCAAUUAUGGUACUUAAAGGAAAACCAAAUUAUGGUAAGAAAAUCAGGACAAACACCAACAAUUCUCCCCCUUGGCCUGAAUUUUUGAUAAAAUAAAUUUGCUCCACCUUCUUCACGUAGUCUUCAACAAGUUCAAUCUUCAUCUCCAAAUCAAUUAAAUCAUUGUCUCUACAUAGAGUAACACUUUGAUAAAAUUUCUCAAACCAAAAUCUUCAUUAUUGUCAAAUAAGUUGUGACCAGAACUGAAUCCGCCAAAAUGAACACCCGAUUUUAACCUGGCUUUGAUACCACUUAUUAGGACCGAAAUAACCAGGUUUCAUGCGGAAGCUAGUAAAGCAAACCUCUAAAGACGCCAAUAAAAAGACAUACGAGAAAUACACCAAAAGAGACACAAGAAUUUAAUGUGGUUCGGUCAAUCGACCUACAUCCAUAAAAGGAGAUAAGCAAUCCACUUAUAAAAGAGAGUACAAACUGUCUAGAGAGAACCUUACAAAAUUCACUCAGAAUAAAAAGAGGUUCACACAAGUGAUACUGCAAUACUUGUAUCUCACAAAGUCUCUCUCCAAAUGAAACUCUCAAAACCGUAGGACUACAUUGUGAAUGCUACCAAACUAGAACAAGUAAACAUGGAUAAGUUUAGUUAGGGUCAAGAAUGACCAUAAAUCAAGUAAACAUGAUGCUUGUAAUGCAUCAGGUACUGAUCAUGAAGAAACAAUGAAUCACAUACCAACUUGACCACAUCAACUGAUAUAUGCCAAUAAUUUCUACUGCAAAAUUGUUGGCAACCUUUAGCAGAUUAUGUGGGGAACAAAGUGGGCAGAACCAAGGCCAACCCCAUAAAAGACAUGCUUACCUC
Molecule: long non-coding RNA, 2367 nt
Filed under: Capsicum annuum
Lineage: Eukaryota; Viridiplantae; Streptophyta; Magnoliopsida; Solanales; Solanaceae
Description: long non-coding RNA (CANN_LNC010635)
Source: RNAcentral